RNAcentral lists this ribosomal RNA (699 nucleotides) under unidentified archaeon. Its description in RNAcentral is "bacterial SSU rRNA". It matches the Rfam family "Archaeal small subunit ribosomal RNA", at positions 356 to 1054 of the family's 1478-position model. The record is from RNAcentral.
UGCGGGAAAACCGUGAUAAGGGGACACCGAGUGCCAGCGUCAUACGCUGGCUGUCCAGGUGUGUAAAAUACACCUGUUAGCAAGGGCCGGGCAAGACCGGUGCCAGCCGCCGCGGUAACACCGGCGGCCCGAGUGGUGAUCGUGAUUAUUGGGUCUAAAGGGUCCGUAGCCGGUUUGGUCAGUCCUCCGGGAAAUCUGAUAGCUCAACUAUUAGGCUUUCGGGGGAUACUGCCAGACUUGGAACCGGGAGAGGUAAGAGGUACUACAGGGGUAGGAGUGAAAUCUUGUAAUCCCUGUGGGACCACCUGUGGCGAAGGCGUCUUACCAGAACGGGUUCGACGGUGAGGGACGAAAGCUGGGGGCACGAACCGGAUUAGAUACCCGGGUAGUCCCAGCCGUAAACGAUGCUCGCUAGGUGUCAGGCAUGGCGCGACCGUGUCUGGUGCCGCAGGGAAGCCGUGAAGCGAGCCACCUGGGAAGUACGGCCGCAAGGCUGAAACUUAAAGGAAUUGGCGGGGGAGCACAACAACGGGUGGAGCCUGCGGUUUAAUUGGACUCAACGCCGGACAACUCACCGGGGACGACAGCAAAAUGUAGGCCAGGCUGAAGACCUUGCCUGAAUCGCUGAGAGGAGGUGCAUGGCCGUCGCCAGUUCGUACUGUGAAGCAUCCUGUUAAGUCAGGCAACGAGCGAGACCCA